RNAcentral lists this ribosomal RNA (174 nucleotides) under uncultured bacterium. RNAcentral describes it as "partial 16S ribosomal RNA". It matches the Rfam family "Bacterial small subunit ribosomal RNA", at positions 1319 to 1500 of the family's 1533-position model. The record is from RNAcentral.
CGUGAAGCUGGAUUCGCUAGUAAUCGCGCAUCAGCCAUGGCGCGGUGAAUACGUUCCCGGGCCUUGUACACACCGCCCGUCAAGCCAUGGGAGCCGGGGGUGCUUGAAGUGCGUCGCCGCAAGGCGCGCCCUAGAGCAAAACCGGUGACUGGGGCUAAGUCGUAACAAGGUACC